ACGAAGGGUGCAAGCGUUAAUCGGAAUUACUGGGCGUAAAGGGUGCGUAGGCGGUUCGUUAGGUCUGUCGUGAAAUCCCCGGGCUCAACCUGGGAAUGGCGAUGGAUACUGGCGAGCUAGAGUGUGUCAGAGGAUGGUGGAAUUCCCGGUGUAGCGGUGAAAUGCGUAGAGAUCCGAUAGAAGACCGGUGGCGAAGGCGGCCUGCUGGGCAGUAACUGACACUGAGGCGCGACAGCGUGGGGAGCAAACAGGA
RNAcentral lists this ribosomal RNA (253 nucleotides) under uncultured prokaryote. RNAcentral's name for it is "partial 16S ribosomal RNA". It matches the Rfam family "Bacterial small subunit ribosomal RNA", at positions 525 to 777 of the family's 1533-position model. The record is from RNAcentral.